GGAAUAAAAGUCGUAACAAGGUUUCCGUAGAUGAACCUGCGGAAGGAUCAUUAUUGUAUAACCGAGGUGCGAGGGCUGUCGCUGACCCGAAAGGUCGUGCACGCCCGAGUGCCCUCACACACAUCCAUCUCACCCCUAUGUGCACCACCGCGUGGGUCCCCCUUUGGCUUGUUCGGAGGGGGGCUUACGUUUUCACACAAACUUUGUAUGCAGUGUAGAAUGUAUUUUUUGUUUUUGCGAUCACGCAAUCAAUACAACUUUCAACAACGGAUCUCUUGGCUCUC
Molecule: unclassified non-coding RNA, 284 nt
Filed under: plant metagenome
Description: partial contains small subunit ribosomal RNA, internal transcribed spacer 1, and 5.8S ribosomal RNA
Rfam family: Eukaryotic small subunit ribosomal RNA (bases 1-53)
Source: RNAcentral